This is a long non-coding RNA of Carcharodon carcharias (great white shark), 262 nucleotides long. RefSeq lists it as uncharacterized. NCBI's taxonomy places the organism in Eukaryota, Metazoa, Chordata, Chondrichthyes, Lamniformes, Lamnidae. The transcript has 3 exons. The record is from RefSeq and is a predicted model, not a curated record.
AGAAUGUAAAGAUGGCUGUACAAGAAUGGCACAUGUUUUUAUGGCUCUUUCUAAUGUUGCUUGUAUUUAGCGGCGAAGCUUUGAAAGAACCAGAAGAAGCGUGAGUUGUGAAAUUCAUCUCCCAGAACUUCCAAAGUGUUCUUCACUGGAAACCAAGAAAUGGGGAAGACAAAUCCACCAUGUACUUCGUGCAACAUCAACAGCAGCUCUCAUGGGGCCUCCAAAAACAGAGGUGAUUUCCUUUGAAAAGUCAAUCCUGGUU